AGAUAUCAUAGGAAUUGUCGUGGACAUUGGAUACAGCCAGAUUUGUAAUUCGAGCAAAAAACAGCAGAUCAAUUUGGUCCUCAAGGAUUUAGGAAACAACAUCCUGAAUUGUACUUUAUGGGAAAGUUAUGCCGUCCAGUUUCAUGAUUUCAAUAGUUCAAGAAAGGAUUUCAAAACACCAACUGUAAUCGUCUUUCAAUUUGCCAGAGUCAAAGAGGAAGGAAAAUAUCCUUUAUGUGUCUUAAACACAUUCAACGUUACUAAAUUACACAUUAAUGAUGAUCUUCCUGAAAUUCAGAACUUCUUAAAGAG
This is a long non-coding RNA of Vicia villosa (hairy vetch), 312 nucleotides long. RefSeq lists it as uncharacterized. The transcript has 3 exons. NCBI's taxonomy places the organism in Eukaryota, Viridiplantae, Streptophyta, Magnoliopsida, Fabales, Fabaceae. The record is from RefSeq and is a predicted model, not a curated record.